GAGGAUAUAGCUCAGUGAUAGAGUGCCUGCCUAGCAUGCACGAGGUCCUGGAUUCAAUUCCCAGUGCCUCCA
This 72-nucleotide transfer RNA is filed under the name Camelus bactrianus (Bactrian camel). It matches the Rfam family "tRNA". From Rfam's summary of the family: Transfer RNA (tRNA) molecules are approximately 80 nucleotides in length. The record is from Rfam by way of RNAcentral. RNAcentral also lists the same sequence under 2 other names. Lineage: Eukaryota; Metazoa; Chordata; Mammalia; Artiodactyla; Camelidae.